RNAcentral lists this ribosomal RNA (417 nucleotides) under Waematau reinga. Its description in RNAcentral is "partial 16S ribosomal RNA". The record is from RNAcentral. Lineage: Eukaryota; Metazoa; Arthropoda; Malacostraca; Amphipoda; Makawidae.
GUGCUAAGGUAGCAAAAUCAUUUGUUUUUUAAUUGAAAACUGGAAUGAACGAUUGAACAAAAAAUUGUUAUUUUAAAAAAUUUUGUUUAAUUUUUAUUUUAUGUAAAAAUACAUAAAUAAUUAAAAGGGACGAUAAGACCCUAAAAGCUUGAUUAUUAAGUUUAUUAUUGUGUAUAAAAAUAGAAAAUAAUUUUGCUGGGGUAGUAGUGUAUAUAACAAAUAUUUUUUAUAACAAAUAGGAGUAAAGGGCCUUUAUUUUAGGAAAAAUAGGUAAAGUUACUUUAGGGAUAACAGCGUAAUAAUAGUAGGGAGAUCUUAUUUAUACUAUUGUUUUCGACCUCGAUGUUGAAUUAAAUUUCUUUUUAAAGCAAAAAUUAUUUUUGAAAGUUUGUUCAACUUUUAAAAUUUUACAUGAUC